CCGAUGUUACAAAGCUCCUGAUGUUGUUAUAAGGAACCUGCAAGCAAAAUUAUUGUUGCUCUGCUUCUUGUGUCUAUGAAACAAACCUGCAAAGAAAGAAUAAAAACAAGAAGAACAAUAUUUGAUCUGAGACGUGCUGAACGCACUGUCCUCAAGGAUUUAUCCGCGGUUAAGCGCAAACCCCCCAGGAUUUAACAGACCC
This 202-nucleotide long non-coding RNA is filed under the name Trifolium pratense (red clover). RNAcentral's name for it is "long non-coding RNA (TPRA_LNC003128)". Lineage: Eukaryota; Viridiplantae; Streptophyta; Magnoliopsida; Fabales; Fabaceae. The record is from RNAcentral.